This 1055-nucleotide ribosomal RNA is filed under the name Staphylococcus sp. EP_L_13. Its description in RNAcentral is "bacterial SSU rRNA". It matches the Rfam family "Bacterial small subunit ribosomal RNA", at positions 37 to 1069 of the family's 1533-position model. The record is from RNAcentral. Lineage: Bacteria; Bacillati; Bacillota; Bacilli; Caryophanales; Staphylococcaceae.
UGGUAAUGCGGGUGCUAUACAUGCAAGUCGAGCGAACAGACGAGGAGCUUGCUCCUUUGACGUUAGCGGCGGACGGGUGAGUAACACGUAGGUAACCUACCUAUAAGACUGGGAUAACUUCGGGAAACCGGAGCUAAUACCGGAUAAUAUUUCGAACCGCAUGGUUCGAUAGUGAAAGAUGGCUUUGCUAUCACUUAUAGAUGGACCUGCGCCGUAUUAGCUAGUUGGUAAGGUAACGGCUUACCAAGGCAACGAUACGUAGCCGACCUGAGAGGGUGAUCGGCCACACUGGAACUGAGACACGGUCCAGACUCCUACGGGAGGCAGCAGUAGGGAAUCUUCCGCAAUGGGCGAAAGCCUGACGGAGCAACGCCGCGUGAGUGAUGAAGGUCUUCGGAUCGUAAAACUCUGUUAUUAGGGAAGAACAAACGUGUAAGUAACUGUGCACGUCUUGACGGUACCUAAUCAGAAAGCCACGGCUAACUACGUGCCAGCAGCCGCGGUAAUACGUAGGUGGCAAGCGUUAUCCGGAAUUAUUGGGCGUAAAGCGCGCGUAGGCGGUUUUUUAAGUCUGAUGUGAAAGCCCACGGCUCAACCGUGGAGGGUCAUUGGAAACUGGAAAACUUGAGUGCAGAAGAGGAAAGUGGAAUUCCAUGUGUAGCGGUGAAAUGCGCAGAGAUAUGGAGGAACACCAGUGGCGAAGGCGACUUUCUGGUCUGUAACUGACGCUGAUGUGCGAAAGCGUGGGGAUCAAACAGGAUUAGAUACCCUGGUAGUCCACGCCGUAAACGAUGAGUGCUAAGUGUUAGGGGGUUUCCGCCCCUUAGUGCUGCAGCUAACGCAUUAAGCACUCCGCCUGGGGAGUACGACCGCAAGGUUGAAACUCAAAGGAAUUGACGGGGACCCGCACAAGCGGUGGAGCAUGUGGUUUAUUUCGAAGCAACGCGAAGAACCUUACCAAAUCUUGACAUCCUUUGACCCUUCUAGAGAUAGAAGUUUCCCCUUCGGGGGACAAAGUGACAGGUGGUGCAUGGUGGUCGUCAGCUCGUGUCGUG